GACGAACGCUGGCGGCGUGCUUAACACAUGCAAGUCGAACGGAAAGGCCCUGCUUGCAGGGUACUCGAGUGGCGAACGGGUGAGUAACACGUGGGUGAUCUGCCCUGCACUUCGGGAUAAGCCUGGGAAACUGGGUCUAAUACCGGAUAGGAGCCAUUUUUAGUGUGAUGGUUGGAAAGUUUUUUCGGUGUAGGAUGAGCUCGCGGCCUAUCAGCUUGUUGGUGGGGUAAUGGCCUACCAAGGCGGCGACGGGUAGCCGGCCUGAGAGGGUGGACGGCCACAUUGGGACUGAGAUACGGCCCAGACUCCUACGGGAGGCAGCAGUGGGGAAUAUUGCACAAGGGGCGCAAGCCUGAUGCAGCGACGCCGCGUGGGGGAUGACGGCCUUCGGGUUGUAAACUCCUUUCGCUAGGGACGAAGCUUUUUGUGACGGUACCUAGAGAAGAAGCACCAGCUAACUACGUG
Molecule: ribosomal RNA, 465 nt
Filed under: uncultured bacterium
Lineage: Bacteria
Description: partial 16S ribosomal RNA
Rfam family: Bacterial small subunit ribosomal RNA
Source: RNAcentral